GAGGGUGUAGCUCGGUGGUAGAGCACAUACCUAGCAAGCACAAGGUCCUGGGUUCAAUCCCUAGUACCUCCA
RNAcentral lists this transfer RNA (72 nucleotides) under Camelus bactrianus (Bactrian camel). It matches the Rfam family "tRNA". From Rfam's summary of the family: Transfer RNA (tRNA) molecules are approximately 80 nucleotides in length. Lineage: Eukaryota; Metazoa; Chordata; Mammalia; Artiodactyla; Camelidae. The record is from Rfam by way of RNAcentral. RNAcentral also lists the same sequence under 1 other name.